ACAAGGGAGCACGUGUGUGUGUCAUACUUUCUAACCCUUCGUAACUGUUCUGUUCUUGGCUGCUUCCCUACCUUUUUUGCAAUGCCCUUCAUUAUAUUUCCACUUGGUCACCUUGUAGCUUAAAUUAAUUCAUCUUUUUCAAUUUCUUUGCUGAGUUACUUCAACUUUUCUCAGCUUCCUCUGUUUUUUCCCCCCCUUUGGUCCAUUUUUGUUUUGAGAUUUAAAUUUCUAAUUUCACGUUAAUUUUUAUUUCUGCAAAGGCCUAUUUAAUUCAUACUAGAUAUUGGUAGUUUUCUUCUGCCUGUGGUUGAGAAUUUUCAUCAGCUGUAAUUGAUUCUCAUUUUUUCUUCUAGUAGUUUUUAUGGAUGUUAUCUUCCUUUUUCUGCUCAUAUUAAAAGGUUUUAUUUUCCUUGUCUUGCAAAACCAGUUGGUUCUCUGCAGGCAGGGACAAGGGGUUUGUGUGGCCGAGUUCCUUGAUUCAGGAAUGUUCUGUUGAUAGAGUUAAAUGGUACCAGUUAAGUGCUGGCAGUACAUGUGCGAGCCACCAUACCUGGUCUGUCUUUUCCUUUCUACUGCCACUCUAGGACCCUGCUGCCCCACGUCUUUACCCUCUAGUUUCCACCUGACUCUCAGCCCUCACGAGGGUUCUGACGCUGGCUCUAGUGUCAGAUGUGCUUUUCUCUGCCUCCACGUAAAUUGAAGUUUUUUGGCCAAGCGUGGUGGCUCAAUCCUGUAAUCCUAGCAACUUUGGGAGACUGAGGGGGACAGGAUCGUUUAAGCCCAGGAGUUCAAGACCAGCCUGGGCAACAUAGGGAGACCUCGUCUCUACACAAAGUAAAAAAAAUUACCCAGGCAUGGUGACAGGUGCCUGUAGUCCCAGCUACUCGGGAGGCUGAGGUGGGAAGAUCGCCUGAGCCUGGGAAGUCGAGGCUGCAGUGAGUCCCGAUCAUGCCACUGCACUCCAGCCUGGGUGGCAGAGCAAGACCUUGUCUCAAAAAAAAAAAAAAAAAAAAAAGACAAAGUUGGAUUUUUUUUCUGUCUCAUAGAUAUGCUGCAGGCACAGAUUAUGGUGACUGCUGUCUUUUGUCUUUAUGGUUUUUGGAAGACUACGAUAGAGCUUUAGAUUUAGGAAGCAGCCAAUAUUCCUUGGAAAACCAGAAACUCAAGUACCUUCCUCUUAAAUGUAAACACACAAGCAAGAGGUACCAGACAUUUAAGGAAAACUUCUAGCAUGAAAGAAAAAAAAUUGAAACAGAAAAAAGUUAAAUACUGUAUCAAUUAAGAGAUUAUUACAUAUAUUUUCUUAAAUUCGAGAACAAAAAAGAGCUCCUGAAAUUUAGGAACCUGACAACAGACACCAUAUACUCACCAGAAGAAUGGGAAAACAGAUGUCCCCAGUCAAGACAGAUACACAGUAACUAGAGAAGAAAAUAGGUUCAAACCAGUAGAGGUCCUGCCUGGACAAAGGAGUGCCAGAAAGAGAGAACAGAGAAUGGAUGGAGAAAAUUUAAAUGUCCCAAAAUGGUGGGGUGAUUUUACAGUCUGCAUUCCUAGCACAGAGGUUGACAAGUGGCACACAUUAAAGCACACUAUAAAACUAUGGCGCCCUGGGGAUAAGAAUAUUCUAUGAGCUUCCACAAAGAAAAAGAUUACAUAUAAAGAAUCAGAAAUAAGAAUGGCUUCAGAUUUCUCAGUAUCUACACACUGGAACCUAGAACCAGUGAGGCAAUGCUUUCAAAAUUCUGGAACAUGAUUUCCAAAGUUACCAAUGAAAUGUGGUGGUAAAACAAAGAUAUUGGUCUCAGAAAAUUUACCAUCCAUACAUUUCUACAGGAAGUAUUAGAGGGCAUGCUCCAUUCAGUAAACCAAGAAAGAUGAAGACAUGGGAUCCAGGAAACAGGAGAGCUGACCGAAGAGUGGUGAAGGAAAUCUCUAGAACACAGGUGAAGGGAGACCCAAGAAAGACAGCUGUGCCCCAGGCGUUAAGAGCAACCAGUCCAGAUUGGUGCAAGUUAGAAGCCACAGGGAACAAACGAAAAAUCAAGACAUUAAGGGAAAAAGAUUUCUUACAAUCUCCAGCUACAACCUGCUUAGCUUGCUACUCAGUACGUGAAUUAGGAUGCAGGCAACACACCUCAGAAGGCAGGAAGAAAAAAGGCACAGCUGAUAAUCAAGUCGUUAGAGUCAACCAUCAUUACUAAAGCCAACUCUCCACCCAGCGCAUCUAAGCCUGUGCCUCUUCUUGCCACCCUAGCAUCUCCUAAGCCAGAUACAGCAAAUGAAUGCCGGAAGCUCACUAUCAGAAUGUUCCAAGACCUUUCCAUAAUAAAAAAUAAGUAUUUUUUUUUAA
This 2350-nucleotide long non-coding RNA is filed under the name Homo sapiens (human). RNAcentral describes it as "HSALNT0298981". The record is from RNAcentral. Lineage: Eukaryota; Metazoa; Chordata; Mammalia; Primates; Hominidae.